UUAAGCGACUAAGCGUACACGGUGGAUGCCCUGGCAGUCAGAGGCGAUGAAGGACGUGCUAAUCUGCGAUAAGCGUCGGUAAGGUGAUAUGAACCGUUAUAACCGGCGAUUUCCGAAUGGGGAAACCCAGUGUGAUUCGUCACACUAUCAUUAACUGAAUCCAUAGGUUAAUGAGGCGAACCGGGGGAACUGAAACAUCUAAGUACCCCGAGGAAAAGAAAUCAACCGAGAUUCCCCCAGUAGCGGCGAGCGAACGGGGAGCAGCCCAGAGCCUGAAUCAGUGUGUGUGUUAGUGGAAGCGUCUGGAAAGGCGCGCGAUACAGGGUGACAGCCCCGUACACAAAAAUGCACAUGCUGUGAGCUCGAUGAGUAGGGCGGGACACGUGGUAUCCUGUCUGAAUAUGGGGGGACCAUCCUCCAAGGCUAAAUACUCCUGACUGACCGAUAGUGAACCAGUACCGUGAGGGAAAGGCGAAAAGAACCCCGGCGAGGGGAGUGAAAAAGAACCUGAAACCGUGUACGUACAAGCAGUGGGAGCACAGAGCAAUCUGUGUGACUGCGUACCUUUUGUAUAAUGGGUCAGCGACUUAUAUUCUGUAGCAAGGUUAACCGAAUAGGGGAGCCGAAGGGAAACCGAGUCUUAACUGGGCGUUAAGUUGCAGGGUAUAGACCCGAAACCCGGUGAUCUAGCCAUGGGCAGGUUGAAGGUUGGGUAACACUAACUGGAGGACCGAACCGACUAAUGUUGAAAAAUUAGCGGAUGACUUGUGGCUGGGGGUGAAAGGCCAAUCAAACCGGGAGAUAGCUGGUUCUCCCCGAAAGCUAUUUAGGUAGCGCCUCGUGAAUUCAUCUCCGGGGGUAGAGCACUGUUUCGGCAAGGGGGUCAUCCCGACUUACCAACCCGAUGCAAACUGCGAAUACCGGAGAAUGUUAUCACGGGAGACACACGGCGGGUGCUAACGUCCGUCGUGAAGAGGGAAACAACCCAGACCGCCAGCUAAGGUCCCAAAGUCAUGGUUAAGUGGGAAACGAUGUGGGAAGGCCCAGACAGCCAGGAUGUUGGCUUAGAAGCAGCCAUCAUUUAAAGAAAGCGUAAUAGCUCACUGGUCGAGUCGGCCUGCGCGGAAGAUGUAACGGGGCUAAACCAUGCACCGAAGCUGCGGCAGCGACACUGUGUGUUGUUGGGUAGGGGAGCGUUCUGUAAGCCUGCGAAGGUGUGCUGUGAGGCAUGCUGGAGGUAUCAGAAGUGCGAAUGCUGACAUAAGUAACGAUAAAGCGGGUGAAAAGCCCGCUCGCCGGAAGACCAAGGGUUCCUGUCCAACGUUAAUCGGGGCAGGGUGAGUCGACCCCUAAGGCGAGGCCGAAAGGCGUAGUCGAUGGGAAACAGGUUAAUAUUCCUGUACUUGGUGUUACUGCGAAGGGGGGACGGAGAAGGCUAUGUUGGCCGGGCGACGGUUGUCCCGGUUUAAGCGUGUAGGCUGGUUUUCCAGGCAAAUCCGGAAAAUCAAGGCUGAGGCGUGAUGACGAGGCACUACGGUGCUGAAGCAACAAAUGCCCUGCUUCCAGGAAAAGCCUCUAAGCAUCAGGUAACAUCAAAUCGUACCCCAAACCGACACAGGUGGUCAGGUAGAGAAUACCAAGGCGCUUGAGAGAACUCGGGUGAAGGAACUAGGCAAAAUGGUGCCGUAACUUCGGGAGAAGGCACGCUGAUAUGUAGGUGAAGUCCCUCGCGGAUGGAGCUGAAAUCAGUCGAAGAUACCAGCUGGCUGCAACUGUUUAUUAAAAACACAGCACUGUGCAAACACGAAAGUGGACGUAUACGGUGUGACGCCUGCCCGGUGCCGGAAGGUUAAUUGAUGGGGUUAGCGCAAGCGAAGCUCUUGAUCGAAGCCCCGGUAAACGGCGGCCGUAACUAUAACGGUCCUAAGGUAGCGAAAUUCCUUGUCGGGUAAGUUCCGACCUGCACGAAUGGCGUAAUGAUGGCCAGGCUGUCUCCACCCGAGACUCAGUGAAAUUGAACUCGCUGUGAAGAUGCAGUGUACCCGCGGCAAGACGGAAAGACCCCGUGAACCUUUACUAUAGCUUGACACUGAACAUUGAGCCUUGAUGUGUAGGAUAGGUGGGAGGCUUUGAAGUGUGGACGCCAGUCUGCAUGGAGCCGACCUUGAAAUACCACCCUUUAAUGUUUGAUGUUCUAACGUUGACCCGUGAUCCGGGUUGCGGACAGUGUCUGGUGGGUAGUUUGACUGGGGCGGUCUCCUCCUAAAGAGUAACGGAGGAGCACGAAGGUUGGCUAAUCCUGGUCGGACAUCAGGAGGUUAGUGCAAUGGCAUAAGCCAGCUUGACUGCGAGCGUGACGGCGCGAGCAGGUGCGAAAGCAGGUCAUAGUGAUCCGGUGGUUCUGAAUGGAAGGGCCAUCGCUCAACGGAUAAAAGGUACUCCGGGGAUAACAGGCUGAUACCGCCCAAGAGUUCAUAUCGACGGCGGUGUUUGGCACCUCGAUGUCGGCUCAUCACAUCCUGGGGCUGAAGUAGGUCCCAAGGGUAUGGCUGUUCGCCAUUUAAAGUGGUACGCGAGCUGGGUUUAGAACGUCGUGAGACAGUUCGGUCCCUAUCUGCCGUGGGCGCUGGAGAACUGAGGGGGGCUGCUCCUAGUACGAGAGGACCGGAGUGGACGCAUCACUGGUGUUCGGGUUGUCAUGCCAAUGGCACUGCCCGGUAGCUAAAUGCGGAAGAGAUAAGUGCUGAAAGCAUCUAAGCACGAAACUUGCCCCGAGAUGAGUUCUCCCUGACCCUUUAAGGGUCCUGAAGGAACGUUGAAGACGACGACGUUGAUAGGCCGGGUGUGUAAGCGCAGCGAUGCGUUGAGCUAACCGGUACUAAUGAACCGUGAGGCUUAACCUU
RNAcentral lists this ribosomal RNA (2903 nucleotides) under Escherichia coli. RNAcentral describes it as "23S ribosomal RNA". It matches the Rfam family "Bacterial large subunit ribosomal RNA". The record is from RNAcentral. Lineage: Bacteria; Pseudomonadati; Pseudomonadota; Gammaproteobacteria; Enterobacterales; Enterobacteriaceae.